GCGAGUGAGCGGCAAAAGCUCAAAUUUGAAAUCUGGUACCUUCGGUGCCCGAGUUGUAAUUUGGAGAGGGCAACUUUGGGGCCGUUCCUUGUCUAUGUUCCUUGGAACAGGACGUCAUAGAGGGUGAGAAUCCCGUGUGGCGAGGAGUGCGGUUCUUUGUAAAGUGCCUUCGAAGAGUCGAGUUGUUUGGGAAUGCAGCUCUAAGUGGGUGGUAAAUUCCAUCUAAAGCUAAAUAUUGGCGAGAGACCGAUAGCGAACAAGUACAGUGAUGGAAAGAUGAAAAGAACUUUGAAAAGAGAGUGAAAAAGUACGUGAAAUUGUUGAAAGGGAAGGGCAUUUGAUCAGACAUGGUGUUUUGUGCCCUCUGCUCCUUGUGGGUAGGGGAAUCUCGCAUUUCACUGGGCCAGCAUCAGUUUUGGUGGCAGGAUAAAUCCAUAGGAAUGUAGCUUGCCUCGGUAAGUAUUAUAGCCUGUGGGAAUACUGCCAGCUGGGACUGAGGACUGCGACGUAAGUCAAGGAUGCUGGCAUAAUGGUUAUAUG
RNAcentral lists this ribosomal RNA (540 nucleotides) under Saccharomyces cerevisiae (brewer's yeast). RNAcentral describes it as "partial large subunit ribosomal RNA". It matches the Rfam family "Eukaryotic large subunit ribosomal RNA", at positions 89 to 644 of the family's 3401-position model. The record is from RNAcentral. Lineage: Eukaryota; Fungi; Ascomycota; Saccharomycetes; Saccharomycetales; Saccharomycetaceae.